RNAcentral lists this transfer RNA (72 nucleotides) under Ovis aries (sheep). It matches the Rfam family "tRNA". Rfam says of the family: Transfer RNA (tRNA) molecules are approximately 80 nucleotides in length. Their secondary structure includes four short double-helical elements and three loops (D, anti-codon, and T loops). Lineage: Eukaryota; Metazoa; Chordata; Mammalia; Artiodactyla; Bovidae. The record is from Rfam by way of RNAcentral.
UCCCUGGUAGCUCAACGGUUAAAGCGUCUGCCUGCAAUGCGGGAGACCUGGGUUCGAUUCGUGGAUUGGGAA